AUUGAACGCUGGCGGCAUGCCUUACACAUGCAAGUCGAACGGCAGCGGGGGAGAAGCUUGCUUUUCCUGCUGGCGAGUGGCGAACGGGUGAGUAAUACAUCGGAACGUGCCCUGUAGUGGGGGAUAACUAGUCGAAAGAUUAGCUAAUACCGCAUACGACCUGAGGGUGAAAGUGGGGGACCGCAAGGCCUCAUGCUAUAGGAGCGGCCGAUGUCUGAUUAGCUAGUUGGUGGGGUAAAGGCCUACCAAGGCGACGAUCAGUAGCUGGUCUGAGAGGACGAUCAGCCACACUGGGACUGAGACACGGCCCAGACUCCUACGGGAGGCAGCAGUGGGGAAUUUUGGACAAUGGGCGAAUGCCUGAUCCAGCAAUGCCGCGUGUGUGAAGAAGGCCUUCGGGUUGUAAAGCACAUUUGUCCGGAAAGAAAUGGCUCUGGUUAAUACCUGGGGUCGAUGACGGUACCGGAAGAAUAAGGACCGGCUAACUACGUGCCAGCAGCCGCCGUAA
This 508-nucleotide ribosomal RNA is filed under the name uncultured bacterium. RNAcentral describes it as "partial 16S ribosomal RNA". It matches the Rfam family "Bacterial small subunit ribosomal RNA", at positions 30 to 523 of the family's 1533-position model. The record is from RNAcentral.